UGGGGAAUAUUGGACAAUGGACCAAGAGUCUGAUCCAGCAAUUCUGUGUGCACGAUGAAGUUUUUCGGAAUGUAAAGUGCUUUCAGUUGGGAAGAAACAAAUGACGGUACCAACAGAAGAAGUGACGGCUAAAUACGUGCCAGCAGCCGCGGUAAUACGUAUGUCACAAGCGUUAUCCGGAUUUAUUGGGCGUAAAGCGCGUCUAGGUGGUUAUAUAAGUCUGAUGUGAAAAUGCAGGGCUCAACUCUGUAUUGCGUUGGAAACUGUAUAACUAGAGUACUGGAGAGGUAAGCGGAACUACAAGUGUAGAGGUGAAAUUCGUAGAUAUUUGUAGGAAUGCCGAUGGGGAAGCCAGCUUACUGGACAGAUACUGACGCUGAAGCGCGAAAGCGUGGGUAGCAAACAGG
Molecule: ribosomal RNA, 407 nt
Filed under: Verrucomicrobiota bacterium
Lineage: Bacteria; Pseudomonadati; Verrucomicrobiota
Description: Verrucomicrobia bacterium partial 16S ribosomal RNA
Rfam family: Bacterial small subunit ribosomal RNA
Source: RNAcentral